This 536-nucleotide long non-coding RNA is filed under the name Neodiprion pinetum (white pine sawfly). Its description in RNAcentral is "uncharacterized LOC124213963". Lineage: Eukaryota; Metazoa; Arthropoda; Insecta; Hymenoptera; Diprionidae. The record is from RNAcentral.
AAAAGCGACGAGGCAAAACUUGUGCUAAAUGAAUUAAUCAAUAAAUAAAUGGAUAAACGAAGGUGCCAAGCAUGAGCGAGUCCUAAAUCACUACCAGAGAAAUGGUGUGAGGAAGUUACAACAGUCAAAAUCGUGCCAAAGAUGUUACAGGCUUUAAUUUGGCUUCAACGUUUUACUGGAAAUUAUUUUACCCGUUGAUACGCGCAGUGAGCAGGACGUUCGAAUAAUCUUGCUAAUAUAUAAUACACGACGCCACGGCAUUCGCCUCGAGGCUCCAGAGUGAGAGAACUGAAACAUCAACUAUUACCAUCGUGUUUAUUUCCGGCUAUGGUUAUUGUCGUUCCAGAUGGUAGCAACACGACUCGACUUACCUCAUAAUCAAAUUCAAAUUCAAACGACUUAUCCGCCAUUAAAGAUGACCUAGAGUUCAAAAAUGGCCUGCCGUGCCCGAACCAGAUCGAAACAAAGACACUAAAGCUCCGGUACCAACAAGUACGAGCAUUCAAAGCACAAGUCCAGGGGGGCGUGCAGCGGAC